This 433-nucleotide ribosomal RNA is filed under the name uncultured bacterium. RNAcentral describes it as "partial 16S ribosomal RNA". It matches the Rfam family "Bacterial small subunit ribosomal RNA", at positions 29 to 507 of the family's 1533-position model. The record is from RNAcentral.
AACGAACGCUGGCGGCAUGCCUAACACAUGCAAGUCGAACGAGACCGCCGGGUCUAGGGGCGCACGGGGGCGUACCGCGGGGGAACCUGCCCUUGGGUUCGGUAUACCUCCCCGAAAGGGAUGCUAAGACCGGAGAAUGUCUUCGGACCAAGGAUUUAUGGCCGUUGGGUGGGCGCGGGUUGGAUUCGCUAGUUGGUAGGGUAAAAGCAUACCAAGGCGACGUUGCAUAGCUGGUCGGUGAGGAUGACCAGCCACACUGGGACUGAGACACGGCCUAGACCGCUACGCGAGGGAGCAGUGGGGAAUAUUGGACGCUGGGCGAUGGCCUGAUCCAGCAACGUCGGGUGAGUGAUGAAGGCCUUAGGGUUGUAAAGCCCUUUUACACGGGAUGAUAAUGACAGUACCGGGAGAAUAAGCACCGGCUAACUACGUG